Molecule: ribosomal RNA, 204 nt
Filed under: Acinetobacter pittii
Lineage: Bacteria; Pseudomonadati; Pseudomonadota; Gammaproteobacteria; Moraxellales; Moraxellaceae
Description: partial 23S ribosomal RNA
Rfam family: Bacterial large subunit ribosomal RNA
Source: RNAcentral
GGUUAAGUCAGAUAAGACGGAGCCGCAGCGAAAGCGAGUCUGAAUAGGGCGAAUGAGUACGUAGCCGUAGACCCGAAACCGUGUGAUCUACCCAUGUCCAGGGUGAAGGUGCGGUAACACGCACUGGAGGCCCGAACCCACGCACGUUGAAAAGUGCGGGGAUGAGGUGUGGGUAGCGGAGAAAUUCCAAUCGAACUCGGAGAU